This 3228-nucleotide long non-coding RNA is filed under the name Cicer arietinum (chickpea). Its description in RNAcentral is "long non-coding RNA (CARI_LNC000152)". The record is from RNAcentral. Lineage: Eukaryota; Viridiplantae; Streptophyta; Magnoliopsida; Fabales; Fabaceae.
CUUUGUCACUAAGGAUUGAAUUUUUGGGUUUCCCACUUCUUUUCCAUUCCUAUAUAAUCCACCCAUGUAAGGACAAAGCAAAGCUUUUUUUAAGCUCAAAGUUUUAGUUCUCACCUUGAAUGUUGUUCCUUCAACAUGCUUACUUGUUGCACUAUACAGCCAAUCUCUAUAGGCUACAAUUGAAUUGAUGGGCUUACUUUGCUUCCUCCAACUUCUUGUAGGUGGUUUGAUUUCUUGUUCUCUGUUGUGUGUUGUGGAAUACUCCUAAAAUAUAGCAUCAUAUCAUGCUUGUAUUUUGUUUAUGCCAUAAUUUAUGUGAAACAUCACAAAAUUAAAUCAAGUGGUUGGGCUCAAGUGGAUUAUGAGCUUCAGUAAAGGUUGAAUUGAUUCGAAGUACUCGAGUUCGAACCUUGACUGGAAUAAUCUUUGGCCAGACGUUACUUACUGUUUGGCCGAACUCCGAAUUAUCAAACCCUUAAACCUAGGAAUCAGAAGGUUAAGAAGGGAAAAAGAAAAAAACAAACAAACCUGUAUGCUUGAAUCUGUGCAGCCAAUAUAUAACUUUCCCUGAGCCACUGUCAUGCAUUUUCCAUGCUUACCCUUGAAAAUAUCACUUAUCUCUCUUGAAUUGUUAACAAGCUGCAAAUAGUAAAUAAGAAAAAUUAAUCAGUAGUCAUAAUUGUUUUAUUAUCCAAGCCAUGAAGGUAAUAAAACUAUUGUUAAAUUAUGUAUAGAUGGAUUGUAGAGAGGUUUCUGUGUGUGAUUUUGCUUUGAAAAUUUGUAGUUACUACAUGUCAUAAAUCAUUGCAAGUUUUGAAGCAUCACCUUUAUUCCUUGUUUCUCAGUAAUUGCAAAAAUUGUCUCACCAUGUGCGCGUAAAUGAUGAAUUGGUUCCUUCAUGACUAUUACUUCAAGACAUUCAAGCUUUCUUUGAAUCAUUUUCCACACCUAUUUUGUGCAUGUCAUUGUAAGAUAAUUAUUUCAUUCAGUUUUUCUUUUAGAAAUUUUGGUAGAGAAUAGAAAGUGAUAACCAUAGAAGAAAGUUUUAACCUUACCCUUAUGGUUUUAUCAGUUGAUCCACUUAAAAGGCUGUCUAAUGGUCCAUAAAUUGAAAAGCAUGUCACAGACUUCUUGUGCUCUUUAAUGUCCCAUACAAGACUAGCUGAGUGUCCCCUAAUAUCCCAAACCUUUUCAGAAACACCAACAUAUAGUGGUUUUAGUAUUUCAAUAUAGAACAUUAGAUGUAGUGCAAUCACAUUCACCUCCCUCAUCCAAUUAAGAUCAGACGAUUUAGAUUUUGAGGAAGAUUUUGAUUUUUUUAAACAAAAAUUCCGACCUUGAAGUCUGGACCCUCUGAUCUUGAUGAGACGGUCGAGAUGGUGUGACUGCACACAAUCUGAACCCAAAAGUUACACCUAAAAAACUGUCAUAAGUGAACUGCAUGUUUGGAUUGAUUGUGAGUUUGGUAAAAUCAUACAUGGUGCACCACCCUGAUUUUGACAAAAACAACACUUCCGAGCUUCAAAAAAUCACGGUGUCACUGUACUUUCGAGCUUCAACAUUUUCUUCUUUCGGUGACUUAGAGCAAAUAGAAGCAUGAUUUAGCAUAUGUUGACUCAAAUCAUAUAUGUUAUUACCUUAAUUGAUCCAUCUGAAUAUCCACUGAAUAAGAGUCCCUUGUAGUAUAUAAGGGAGCAAACUGAUAUGCUUAAGUUGUUGUGACCUGCCUCAAGGAUUUGAGUGUGAACACAAGAAAUACGCUGCUCUUACACCACCAUCAUGAUUAGGGUGAUGCAACAAAAUAAAUCAGUUAAUGCAAAUUAUUUAUACUUAAACUUUCAUAAUGUUCAUGCAAAGAGUUGAAGAUAUUUAACUUGCAUAUGAUUUUUCAAUUGUGGAAUUUGGUACAUAAAUGAGUGUACUUACUGAUGUGUUUCGAAGCAAGAAAUCAGCUACCCUAUGUAAUUCCUCAGCCAUCCAAGUUAUGUUUGAAAGGCGUCUUAAUGAUUCUUUUACUCCUUCUGAGAAUUGCAUUAGUUUUUGCUUUCCUACAAUGAAAAUGGUUGUCUUACUUGGUAGAUGCAAUUUAUAAUUCUUGAUCAUGAUUCAUUAAGUGUUCAUUUUUUUUAAAAAAAUCGUUUAUUAGUGAACAAGUUAUUUUCCUUUCUUUCGAGUCAGAGUCGUGUCUAGUGUUUGUCUCGGGGAUUCGUGUGGUAAUUUAGUUUAAUGCACUUUGGAUGAAUUGCCAUUGACAUCAAAUUUGUUAAUUAACAUAAACUGUGAUGAGGACAAUACCUUUUCCUGAGGCAUAAUUAAACAUGCACAUACAUGCCAAAAGUCUUUCUUCCAAUUCCAUUCCAGGAUAUAGAAAUUGCUCAAUUCCUCUUAGUAUAAUCUCAGAUGCAGAAUUACUGAGGCUGUUUGGACUUUUUGAUAUUUGACAUCCAAGCCAUGAAAUGGCUACAAGACAGUCUCUAGAAACCUUUUUCAUCUUGCUUCUUAGUCCCCUCUCUAAAGUAUAGAAGAUGGAAUCUCCAACACUUAUGAUACAUUUGGCAAUUUUGCUGCACCAUACAUCUAUGCUGGUAUCCUGCAUAUUAUGAAAUUUAUUUAUCACCUUAAUUGCGGCUGCCCAUCACUGCUCAAGUGCUCAUACAUAUACUUAUUGACAUAUAAACCUUUUGAAUUGUGUAAUUUUGACACACAAAUUUGAUAACAAUUUGGAUGGUUAACGCAGUUCAAAUACAUGGUUAAUUAUGUCUCGUGGAUGGUUGAUGAAUAUAACAAGGUAUGCAACUCAUUAAACAUUUACUUAACACAAUUUAUUUGAACACAAGUCAUGGUUAAUGGAUGUUAUGUAUAUUUGAAUACAAUUUGGAUGGUUAAUGAAUAUAGUGUAUACUUGAAGUGGAAUACCUGAAAAUUGUGUUUAAUUACAUUAAGUGGAUAGUUAAUGAGUCGCAACACCUUGUUAUAUUCAUUAAUUAUCCACUGAACGUAAUUAACCAUAUAUUUGAACUGCGUUAACUGUCCAAAUUGUUGUCAAACUUAUGUGUCUAAAUAUCAUUUCUGAAACCUUUUUGGAAGUUUACCUGUAGACUUUGAUCCAACCAGUUGAAGUUUCUUAUCAUAUUUUGGUGAUAAGGAGAGGUCAAGCCUGUCUUUCUCAGAAGCCAUGCAGCUGUAUAUGGCUCUCCUGUCCAAGCAUAUGUUCCAGCAAGAUUUGAU